This 433-nucleotide ribosomal RNA is filed under the name uncultured bacterium. RNAcentral's name for it is "partial 16S ribosomal RNA". It matches the Rfam family "Bacterial small subunit ribosomal RNA", at positions 29 to 507 of the family's 1533-position model. The record is from RNAcentral.
AACGAACGCUGGCGGCAUGCCUAACACAUGCAAGUCGAACGAGACCUUCGGGUCUAGUGGCGCACGGGUGCGUAACGCGUGGGAACCUGCCCUUAGGUUCGGAAUAACUCCCCGAAAGGGGUGCUAAUACCGGAUAAUGUCUUCGGACCAAAGAUUUAUCGCCUUUGGAUGGGCCCGCGUUGGAUUAGCUAGUUGGUAGGGUAAAAGCCUACCAAGGCGACGAUCCAUAGCUGGUCUGAGAGGCUGAUCAGCCACACUGGGACUGAGACACGGCCCAGACUCCUACGGGAGGCAGCAGUGGGGAAUAUUGGACAAUGGGCGAAAGGCUGAUCCAGCAAUGCCGCGUGAGUGAUGAAGGCCUUAGGGUUGUAAAGCUCUUUUACCCGGGAUGAUAAUGACAGUACCGGGAGAAUAAGCUCCGGCUAACUCCGUG